UCCGGAAACCGGGUAGGCUAAUACCGCCAUAGUUUUCUUUGAGUCGCAUGAUCGGGAAAGGAAAGACGGCCUUUGUGCUGUCGCUUAUGGAUGGACCCGCGGCGUAUUAGUUAGUUGGUGAGGUAACGGCUCACCAAGACGAUGAUACGUAGCCGACCUGAGAGGGUGAUCGGCCACAUUGGGACUGAGACACGGCCCAAACUCCUACGGGAGGCAGCAGUAGGGAAUCUUCCGCAAUGGACGAAAGUCUGACGGAGCAACGCCGCGUGAGUGAAGAAGGGUUUUUUCCGGAUCGUAAAACUCUGUUGUCAGAGAAGAACAAGUUGGAGAGUAACUGCUCCAGCCUUGACGGUAUCUGACCAGAAAGCCACGGCUAACUACGUGCCAGCAGCUGC
Molecule: ribosomal RNA, 395 nt
Filed under: uncultured bacterium
Lineage: Bacteria
Description: bacterial SSU rRNA
Rfam family: Bacterial small subunit ribosomal RNA
Source: RNAcentral